RNAcentral lists this ribosomal RNA (497 nucleotides) under uncultured bacterium. RNAcentral describes it as "partial 16S ribosomal RNA". It matches the Rfam family "Bacterial small subunit ribosomal RNA", at positions 28 to 507 of the family's 1533-position model. The record is from RNAcentral.
GAUGAACGCUGGCGGCGUGCCUAAUACAUGCAAGUCGAGCGAACGGACGAUAAGCUUGUUUCUCUCUUGUUAGCGGCGCACGGGUGAGUAACACGUGGAUAACCUACCUAUAAGACUGAGAUAACUUCGGGACACCGGAGCUAAUACCGGAUAAUAUUCUGAACCGUAUGGUUCAAAAGAGAAAGACGGUCUUGCUGUCACUUAUAGAUGGAUCCCAGCUGCAUUAGCUAGUUGGUAAGGUAACGGCUUACCAAGGCAACGAUGCGUAGCCGACCUGAGAGAGUGAUCGGCCACACUAGAACUGGAACACGGACCAGACUCCUAAGGGAGGCAGCAGUAGCGAAUGUUCCGCAAUGGGCGGAAGUCUGACGGAGCGACGCCGCGUGAGUGAUGAAGGUCUUCGGAUCGUAAUACUCUGUUAUGAGGGGAGAACAUAUGUGUAAGGAACUGUGCACAGCUUGACGGUAAUUAGUAAGAAAGCAACGGCUAACUACGUG